This is a non-coding RNA of Arachis ipaensis, 653 nucleotides long. Lineage: Eukaryota; Viridiplantae; Streptophyta; Magnoliopsida; Fabales; Fabaceae. The record is from RefSeq and is a predicted model, not a curated record.
CGCACACAAUGAACCCUAAUCUUCUGUAUUUCCUCUCCCGUUCCGGCACCGUCGCUGCCACCGAGGAUAACCGCCUCAUUGGGUGCCCCAUUCUCUCCAUCUGUCGUGCCAUCUCCGUGCUCGAAAGCAUCGCCGCCGCGUCGUCACAAGCAGCGCCGCCUUCCUCACGGUAUCCUUCCCUCUCAUGAAAUUGCGUUGCAGAAUCCCUUAUCCACUCUGCAAUAACCACCAAGUGUGAUGACCAUGAAUCAAUCAAAUGGCUUCUUUAACUUGUUCAUCAUCUUCAUCCUUCUUAACAAAGCUUCCUCUUCAUUCCUCAACACCUCUAAAAAGAACAAGAAGAAGAAGCAACCAUGAUUUUCUAAGAAUGGUGACUCGUUCCUGUCUCGAUGACAAUUCAGCACUUCUCCGAGCAGCUCAAUACACUGAAUUUAUCUUCAAGAGGACUCACUGGACACAUAGCAGUUUAUAUCUCUAAGCUUACUGAGUUAGAGUCCUUGGAUUUAUCAAAUAAUAGCUUAAUUGGGGCGAUAACUGUUUUUCUGGUAGAAAACCUGCCAUCGCUUAGAGUCCUGUAAGUUUAUUUCAUACUCUCAGCAUUAAUAUAAAUUAUUAAUUUUGUUGUUACAAAAAAAUAAAGAAACAUUUUCUUU